UACGUAGGGGGCAAGCGUUGUCCGGAUUUAUUGGGCGUAAAGAGCGUGUAGGCGGCCAGACAGGUCCGUUGUGAAAACUCGAGGCUCAACCUCGAGAUGUCGAUGGAAACCGUCUGGCUAGAGUCCGGAAGAGGAGUGUGGAAUUCCUGGUGUAGCGGUGAAAUGCGUAGAUAUCAUCUGGAACGCCAAUGGUGAAAACAGCUCGCUGGGGGUGUGCAGACGCUGAGACACGAAAGCCAGGGGAGCGAACGGG
This 253-nucleotide ribosomal RNA is filed under the name uncultured bacterium. RNAcentral's name for it is "partial 16S ribosomal RNA". It matches the Rfam family "Bacterial small subunit ribosomal RNA", at positions 524 to 776 of the family's 1533-position model. The record is from RNAcentral.